CCAUUUGAUGGAAUAUUCAAGUUGGAAACAUAUCAUACUGCUUUGAACCAAUCAUCAAAGCCAGGAAAACGACUGCGAAUUGCUGCUACUAACAUUUUGAACAUAAAUGUUAGUGCUGCAAACCUUGAAACUCUUGGCGAUGCUGUUGUGUCCUGGAGAAGGCAAUUAGAACUUGAAGAAAGAGCGGCCAAAAUGAAAGAAGAAUCCGCCGUCUCUCG
Non-coding RNA from Camelina sativa (false flax), 218 nucleotides. The record is from RefSeq and is a predicted model, not a curated record. Lineage: Eukaryota; Viridiplantae; Streptophyta; Magnoliopsida; Brassicales; Brassicaceae.